RNAcentral lists this ribosomal RNA (554 nucleotides) under uncultured bacterium. RNAcentral's name for it is "bacterial SSU rRNA". It matches the Rfam family "Bacterial small subunit ribosomal RNA", at positions 102 to 674 of the family's 1533-position model. The record is from RNAcentral.
ACGGGUGAGUAACACGUAGGUAACCUACCCUUCAGUGGGGGACAACAGAGGGAAACUUCUGCUAAUACCGCAUACGAUCACGGACUGGGAUGUUCGUGGUGAAAGGAUUUAUUCGCUGAGGGAUGGGCCUGCGGCCUAUCAGGUAGUUGGUGGGGUAAUGGCCUACCAAGCCUGCGACGGGUAGCCGGACUGAGAGGUCGAUCGGCCACACUGGAACUGAGACACGGUCCAGACUCCUACGGGAGGCAGCAGUGGGGAAUAUUGCACAAUGGGGGGAACCCUGAUGCAGCGACGCCGCGUGGAGGAUGACGGCCUUCGGGUUGUAAACUCCUUUUGUCGGGGACAAUGGUGAUGGUACCCGACGAAUAAGCCACGGCUAACUCUGUGCCAGCAGCCGCGGUAAGACAGAGGUGGCGAGCGUUGUUCGGAAUUACUGGGCUUAAAGGGCGCGUAGGCGGUGGUGUAAGUCUAGGGUGGAAUGCUACAGCUCAACUGUAGAGCUGCCUUGGAAACUGCAUUACUUGAGUCGGUGAGGGGAAGGUGGAAUUCCAGGU